AGGGGUGUAGCUCAGUGGUAGAGCACUUGCCUAGCAUAUGAGAGGCCCUGGGUUCCAUCCCCAGCACCUCAA
Molecule: transfer RNA, 72 nt
Filed under: Cavia porcellus (domestic guinea pig)
Lineage: Eukaryota; Metazoa; Chordata; Mammalia; Rodentia; Caviidae
Description: tRNA-Ala (AGC) (tRNA-Ala-AGC-12-1)
Rfam family: tRNA
About the family: Transfer RNA (tRNA) molecules are approximately 80 nucleotides in length. Their secondary structure includes four short double-helical elements and three loops (D, anti-codon, and T loops).
Source: Rfam by way of RNAcentral